CAGCCGCCGCGGUAAUACGGAGGGGGCUAGCGUUGUUCGGAAUUACUGGGCGUAAAGCGUACGUAGGCGGCUUUGUAAGUUAGAGGUGAAAGCCUGGAGCUCAACUCCAGAAUUGCCUUUAAGACUGCAUCGCUUGAACGUCGGAGAGGUGAGUGGAAUUCCGAGUGUAGAGGUGAAAUUCGUAGAUAUUCGGAAGAACACCAGUGGCGAAGGCGGCUCACUGGACGACUGUUGACGCUGAGGUACGAAAGCGUGGGGAGCAAACAGGAUUAGAUACCCCCGUAGUCCCUGUCUCUUAUAC
This 301-nucleotide ribosomal RNA is filed under the name uncultured bacterium. RNAcentral describes it as "partial 16S ribosomal RNA". It matches the Rfam family "Bacterial small subunit ribosomal RNA", at positions 509 to 807 of the family's 1533-position model. The record is from RNAcentral.